GAUGAACGCUGGCGGCGUGCUUAACACAUGCAAGUCGAACGAAGCAUUUAAGACAGAUUACUUCGGUUUGAAGUCUUUUAUGACUGAGUGGCGGACGGGUGAGUAACGCGUGGGUAACCUGCCUCAUACAGGGGGAUAGCAGCUGGAAACGGCUGGUAAUACCGCAUAAGCGCACAGUACCACAUGGUACAGUGUGAAAGACUCCGGUGGUAUGAGAUGGACCCGCGUCUGAUUAGCUUGUUGGCGGGGUAACGGCCCACCAAGGCGACGAUCAGUAGCCGACCUGAGAGGGUGACCGGCCACAUUGGGACUGAGACACGGCCCAGACUCCUACGGGAGGCAGCAGUGGGGAAUAUUGCACAAUGGAGGAAACUCUGAUGCAGCGACGCCGCGUGAGUGAAGAAGUAGUUCGCUAUGUAAAGCUCUAUCAGCAGGGAAGAUAGUGACGGUACCUGACUAAGAAGCUCCGGCUAAAUACGUG
Molecule: ribosomal RNA, 481 nt
Filed under: uncultured bacterium
Lineage: Bacteria
Description: partial 16S ribosomal RNA
Rfam family: Bacterial small subunit ribosomal RNA
Source: RNAcentral